RNAcentral lists this long non-coding RNA (574 nucleotides) under Ananas comosus (pineapple). RNAcentral describes it as "long non-coding RNA (ACOM_LNC014865)". Lineage: Eukaryota; Viridiplantae; Streptophyta; Magnoliopsida; Poales; Bromeliaceae. The record is from RNAcentral.
UAUUCACUACAAUAAAAACGGUGUAUAGCGAUACUUUUAAAUAUCGGUACAGAAAAAAAAAGUGCUGUUGACUAAAUUACCGACACUUUUAAAAAGUGUUACUAUAUGUGAGGUCGUUAGGUAUAAAGUGACAGUUUAAGAGUAUCAGUAUAACGUAAAAAGAGUGCAGUUAAUUUACCAAUACUUAUUUAAAUAUUUAGCAACCGCCGGAACUCUACCUCGUUGGCUACGGUGGCAGAGGAGGAGGAGAGCGAAAGGCUAUUCGUCUAGGGUUUCAGUGGAUUGAGUGAGGAGAGAAGGGGAGAUGGUGAUUAAUUUUUUUUUUUCCCUUUGUGUUUGUAAUCAAACCGAAUGGGCUGGGUGGGGUGGUUUGAUUAGAGUAAUUUUUUAUCUUUUAUUUUUAGUUGGAUUGAGCUUUAUAUUUAGGGCUUAGUAAAUUUUUUAAAAAAUUUUAGCAUAAAUGAGAGAUACUAACAUAAAAAUAUUCUAAACAUGUAUUCCUAUAAUCUAAUUUUGUUGUAGUGAUUCUAGCUUGUUUACUGGUGUUAGUCCCUAACAUGUCCCGAAACCAAAC